This 451-nucleotide ribosomal RNA is filed under the name uncultured bacterium. Its description in RNAcentral is "bacterial SSU rRNA". It matches the Rfam family "Bacterial small subunit ribosomal RNA", at positions 917 to 1382 of the family's 1533-position model. The record is from RNAcentral.
GGGCCCGCACAAGCAGCGGAGCGUGUGGUUUAAUUCGAGGCUACACGAAGAACCUUACCUGGGCUUGACAUGGUGGUGGUAGGGAAGCGAAAGCGGACCGACCUUCGGGAGCCAUCACAGGUGCUGCAUGGCUGUCGUCAGCUCGUGUCGUGAGAUGUUCGGUUAAGUCCGGUAACGAGCGCAACCCUUGCCGUUAGUUACAAGUGUCUAGCGGGACUGCCCGUAGAAAGCGGGAGGAAGGUGGGGAUGACGUCAAGUCAGCAUGGCCUUAAUGUCCAGGGCUACACACACGCUACAAUGGCCGGUCCAAUGGGUCGCCAACCCGCGAGGGGGAGCCAAUCCAGGAAAGCCGGUCGUAGUUCGGAUUGCAGGCUGCAACCCGCCUGCAUGAAGUCGGAGUUGCUAGUAAACGCCGGUCAGCCAUACGGCGUUGAAUACGUUCCCGGGCCUU